GACGAACGCUGGCGUCGUGCUUAACACAUGCAAGUCGAACGGAAAGGCCCUGCUUUUGUGGGGUGCUCGAGUGGCGAACGGGUGAGUAACACGUGAGUAACCUGCCCUUGACUUUGGGAUAACUUCAGGAAACUGGGGCUAAUACCGGAUAGGAGCUCCUGCUGCAUGGUGGGGGUUGGAAAGUUUCGGCGGUUGGGGAUGGACUCGCGGCUUAUCAGCUUGUUGGUGGGGUAGUGGCUUACCAAGGCUUUGACGGGUAGCCGGCCUGAGAGAGUGACCGGCCACAUUGGGACUGAGAUACGGCCCAGACUCCUACGGGAGGCAGCAGUGGGGAAUAUUGCACAAUGGGCGGAAGCCUGAUGCAGCAACGCCGCGUGCGGGAUGACGGCCUUCGGGUUGUAAACCGCUUUCGCCUGUGACGAAGCGUGAGUGACGGUAAUGGGUAAAGAAGCACCGGCUAACUACGUGCCAGCAGCCGCGGUGAUACGUAGGGUGCGAGCGUUGUCCGGAUUUAUUGGGCGUAAAGGGCUCGUAGGUGGUUGAUCGCGUCGGAAGUGUAAUCUUGGGGCUUAACCCUGAGCGUGCUUUCGAUACGGGUUGACUUGAGGAAGGUAGGGGAGAAUGGAAUUCCUGGUGGAGCGGUGGAAUGCGCAGAUAUCAGGAGGAACACCAGUGGCGAAGGCGGUUCUCUGGGCCUUUCCUGACGCUGAGGAGCGAAAGCGUGGGGAGCGAACAGGCUUAGAUACCCUGGUAGUCCACGCUGUAAACGGUGGGUACUAGGUGUGGGGUCCAUUCCACGGGUUCCGUGCCGUAGCUAACGCUUUAAGUACCCCGCCUGGGGAGUACGGCCGCAAGGCUAAAACUCAAAGGAAUUGACGGGGCCCCGCACAAGCGGCGGAGCAUGCGGAUUAAUUCGAUGCAACGCGUAGAACCUUACCUGGGUUUGACAUGGAUCGGGAGUGCUCAGAGAUGGGUGUGCCUCUUUUGGGGUCGGUUCACAGGUGGUGCAUGGCUGUCGUCAGCUCGUGUCGUGAGAUGUUGGGUUAAGUCCCGCAACGAGCGCAACCCUUGUUCACUGUUGCCAGCACGUUAUGGUGGGGACUCAGUGGAGACCGCCGGGGUCAACUCGGAGGAAGGUGGGGAUGACGUCAAGUCAUCAUGCCCCUUAUGUCCAGGGCUUCACGCAUGCUACAAUGGCUGGUACAGAGAGUGGCGAGCCUGUGAGGGUGAGCGAAUCCCGGAAAGCCGGUCUCAGUUCGGAUUGNGGUCUGCAACUCGACCUCAUGAAGUCGGAGUCGCUAGUAAUCGCAGAUCAGCAACGCUGCGGUGAAUACGUUCCCGGGGCU
This 1346-nucleotide ribosomal RNA is filed under the name uncultured bacterium. Its description in RNAcentral is "partial 16S ribosomal RNA". It matches the Rfam family "Bacterial small subunit ribosomal RNA", at positions 28 to 1381 of the family's 1533-position model. The record is from RNAcentral.